Long non-coding RNA from Helianthus annuus (common sunflower), 1876 nucleotides. RefSeq lists it as uncharacterized. The transcript is spliced from 11 exons. The record is from RefSeq and is a predicted model, not a curated record. Lineage: Eukaryota; Viridiplantae; Streptophyta; Magnoliopsida; Asterales; Asteraceae.
UCUUCUCUCAUACUCUUUGUCGGUUAGGGUUUCUUUUUGUUUCCAUUCGUCUUCUCUCAUACACACUAAUCCUUACCCACUCCAUCUCUCAUAUGAAAACCCUAAAAUUAAUGGAUGAAGUCGCAAAUCCAAUGGGUACAACCAUCUCUUUUGCUGCAUCCGUUAUAUCAAUCAAUUCUGCUCCUCCACCGUCGCCGAUUGAUCUGCACCAUUUUCUUCCACACACAGAAACAACCUUUCUCUUUGGUCCGGAGCAAGAAUAAGGGUUGCCAAGGUUAAUUUCACGUUUGACGAGUCAUCUCUUAAAGCAGUAUCCGUAUACCACUUUGCGAUUAGAUGAUUAGAGCCUGUGAUGGUGGUCUUACAGCAGAUCUAGGGUUUAACGGUGAUUCUAGGCGGCAACUAGGACUCGGGUUAUAGUGCGCGACAGGAAGGAUUUCUUGGUUCACCCAAAAGGCUCCUCAUUGAAGUUGUCAAAUUGUGGUCCAUCAAGAAUGCUACGUAGUUAGAGAUAUGGAUGAUUUCACAUCUUGGGUUUGUAGGACGUGUCAAACACCCGAGGUGAGAGAAUGCCCUCCUUCUCUAUAAAAGGUUAAAAUAGUUAUUUACUCCGUUUUUAAUUUAUUUUCUUUUUCUAUUUUUUUUGUAUCUUGGUUCUACAUGUGCAUUGGAGCCAACUAAUAUUGAUACACUGUGGGUCCAUGUCAUAUGUGAGUGGUUUCGGCCGGAUGUUGCUUUUUAAGCGGACAAAAGAUGGAACCUGCAGUCGGGUUUUUAAGCAUUCCACUGGAUUGACAAAACAAUCAUAAUAAAACAUCUCACUGAAAUGUCGACCGAAGUCAUAAUUUGUCGUGUUUUUUGGUAGUUAAUUGUAGAGAUGUGGAAUUUGCAAACAAGUUCACGUUUCUUGCACACAAUGUUGCAAAUACGCCACAUACUUCCAUGCUAUGUGUGCUUCAUGUGCUAGCUACGGUGUCGAGUUGCAUUCGUCUAAGAAAGGUGGGACAUAUCAAACUAAAUGGUCAACAUAUUGUGCUAUGCACAGAACCCCUGCAGAAAAUGUAAUAUUUCUUCAUCUUUAGAAUUGAAUCAAUAGCAGAAGAGAAGUGCUACUAGAACACGCGAGAGUGCAUUUAGGAGUGCCAGCUGAUGACCUUAUCAAUGCUGCCAAGGGUUCUUCAAACAACUAUGCUAUUAAGGAGGAUGAGAUCAGAAGGGUUGCCAAGGCCAACGUUAAAGAAGAAGAAUUAAUGUCAAAGUACUCGGUUUUGGUUGCUUCUUGCUGGGCCAACAAGUUACCGUUGCAAUUGCCAUUAGCCUCUCUUCUCGCACACUGGGUACUCAUAAAAUUAUCCAUACAUAAGACCUUUAUCUCCCUCCUGUCUUGCGGGUGAAGAAGGUCCACUGAAGAAACCAAAUGCUUAAAACAUUCAGGUUUAUAAACCGUGUUAGGGCACAAACUUUUCGGCCACCUACAAAUCGUCGUCUACUCGCUAUACUUGGCUACCGGGUUGCCAAAAUGUAAGUUUUUUUUUGUUUUUGUUUUAGCAAAAUGUGUAAAAUUUAUGCAGAAACAGGAGAUGAUCCGACUAAGUGGUCGCACUACCCAUCGACUUUGACUUUUGAAAUUUGUGUUUGUUUUGUUAUUGGGCAGUGAUUGCAUUAUAUAGGUAUGUCCCGUGAGAUUAAAGAUUUGGUAAUGAUAGUGAAAAUGAAGGCCACGGGGGAUGAAUAAUUAUUAGGGGUGAGCAAAAGGCGGUUCAGUUCGGUUAGCGUUUUAAUGGUAACCAAAACCGAUUCUCAAUUAUAGUUUUGGUUAAUGCCGACUAUCCUAGGAUGGGCAAGAAGAAGGAGUUUGAAGAUGAUAUAUGAUGUG